RNAcentral lists this non-coding RNA (54 nucleotides) under Xyrichtys novacula (pearly razorfish). It matches the Rfam family "Editing element of GABA-3 exon 9". The record is from RNAcentral. Lineage: Eukaryota; Metazoa; Chordata; Actinopteri; Labriformes; Labridae.
AAAGUAGCCUAUGCCACCGCCAUGGAUUGGUUCAUUGCAGUGUGUUUUGCCUUU